UGCCGUUCCAGCAGCGCGACUGGAACAACCUGGUGUCCGCCAUCUUCAACCAAUACUUCUCGGCCACUUCCCAGCGGCCCGCGAACCCGAAGCGAUGGUAUCACGAGAUGAGUGCCCGAGUGAUGGAUGAGUAUCCUCAUCUGUUUGAGGGCAUGACAACGUUCCAAGGCCUGACGUUCGUAACGCAAAAACUCCGGUGCAAGUUCAAGAACGUGCGUUUUAAGAUCAACUCUUCGUGGAGGGCCCUCGGACUGCAGCGACACGCGCCAUCUAGCAACUCCACGCCAACUCAGCAGCUGGAGGGCACUGAAGCCGCGAACAUUCAGCUAGCUGUGGAAUCUGUCAAGUCGGAGGCGUGCCAGUCGGACGUCAGUGAACUCCUCAUCGUGCGAGGAGUGGAUUCAUCAGACAACUCGUCAGAAGUCAUCCAGUUUGACGACCAAUGAACUCUCGAAUGUGAACCACCUGGCACCACUAUGAAUCUAAGUCACUCGCAAAGUUAGGCUUUGUGGUGAUGCAAUGACUUAUGUGAUCGCACCCCGCGUUAACGUGUUUCGGAAAAGACCGUAGAUCAGCUUCGCUUUGCUUUCCGUCAAACUACGUACCUAGUCAUGCGUAGAAAGUGGGCGACUUUUGGACGUAUGCCAUCGGUGCCCCCAUGUAUUGUCUUGAGGGCCAUGUCUGUAGGAACUCCGCCGUGUUUAUGCAUGUUUGCGCUAUCAUGGCACUGACCUCUCAGUGCAGCUUGCUAAGGCAGAGCACGACCCUCGCGCACCACUUUGGCUGAUUGCUUAUUCGAAAUGCAUUGGCGCGCCUUGAAGACAGGCAUAUCUCUUCAGCAUCUGGCCGCGCAGGCCUGAGUAAAUGUUUAGGCAUUGGUCAAGGGACUAACGCACUGCGUACGAAUCGUUUGGCCCUUUCUGACAAACAGCUUAGCUGAGUCAAAUGAGCAUCUGUUUAGUUUGUUAGAGAUGCGAGUUUUCGCAAAUGGUGUAAGCAACGGAUCAGGGGCGUUGUUUUGCAAACUAAGUUAGUGGCUGAUCAGUGAAAAAAAAUGACCAGAACUUCUCCAAAAUAUGCCAGUAAUAUUGUUUCUUCCUAGAUUUAGCCAGCUUU
Long non-coding RNA from Pollicipes pollicipes, 1116 nucleotides. RefSeq lists it as uncharacterized. The record is from RefSeq and is a predicted model, not a curated record. The transcript has 3 exons. NCBI's taxonomy places the organism in Eukaryota, Metazoa, Arthropoda, Thecostraca, Pollicipedomorpha, Pollicipedidae.